GACGAACGCUGGCGGCGUGCUUAACACAUGCAAGUCGAACGGAAAGGCCCUUCGGGGUUCUCGAGUGGCGAACGGGUGAGUAACACGUGGGUGAUCUGCCCUGCACUUUGGGAUAAGCCUGGGAAACUGGGUCUAAUACCGAAUAGGACCGCGCGCUUCAUGGUGUGUGGUGGAAAGCUUUUGCGGUGUGGGAUGGGCCCGCGGCCUAUCAGCUUGUUGGUGGGGUAAUGGCCUACCAAGGCGACGACGGGUAGCCGGCCUGAGAGGGUGACCGGCCACACUGGGACUGAGAUACGGCCCAGACUCCUACGGGAGGCAGCAGUGGGGAAUAUUGCACAAUGGGCGCAAGCCUGAUGCAGCGACGCCGCGUGAGGGAUGACGGCCUUCGGGUUGUAAACCUCUUUCACCAGGGACGAAGCGCAAGUGACGGUACCUGGAGAAGAAGCACCGGCCAACUACGUG
Molecule: ribosomal RNA, 462 nt
Filed under: uncultured bacterium
Lineage: Bacteria
Description: partial 16S ribosomal RNA
Rfam family: Bacterial small subunit ribosomal RNA
Source: RNAcentral